This 468-nucleotide ribosomal RNA is filed under the name uncultured bacterium. RNAcentral describes it as "partial 16S ribosomal RNA". It matches the Rfam family "Bacterial small subunit ribosomal RNA", at positions 28 to 507 of the family's 1533-position model. The record is from RNAcentral.
GACGAACGCUGGCGGCGUGCUUAACACAUGCAAGUCGAACGGAAAGGCCCUGCUUUUGUGGGGUGCUCGAGUGGCGAACGGGUGAGUAACACGUGAGUAACCUGCCCUUGACUUUGGGAUAACUUCAGGAAACUGGGGCUAAUACCGGAUAGGAGCUCCUGCUGCAUGGUGGGGGUUGGAAAGUUUCGGCGGUUGGGGAUGGACUCGCGGCUUAUCAGCUUGUUGGUGGGGUAGUGGCUUACCAAGGCUUUGACGGGUAGCCGGCCUGAGAGGGUGACCGGCCACAUUGGGACUGAGAUACGGCCCAGAGUCGUACGGGAGGCAGCAGUGGGGAAUAUUGCACAAUGGGCGGAAGCCGGAUGCAGCAACGCCGCGUGCGGGAUGACGGCCUUCGGGUUGUAAACCGCUUUCGCCUGUGACGAAGCGUGAGUGACGGUAAUGGGUAAAGAAGCACCGGCUAACUACGUG